GAUUUCUGGUUCGGCGCACUUGGCCCGUCUCGGUUUACGGGAUUGCGUGCCGGUGUGCGCCAUCCAUCCUUCGAGAGAACACUUCGGCUCUUUACUGGGUCGGAGUGCUAUCUCGAUCUUUUACUUUGAAAAAAUUAGAGUGUUUAAAGCAGGCUUGCGCUAUGAAUACAUUAGCAUGGAAUAAUAAUUUAGGACUUUGGUCUUAUUUUGUUGGUUUCUAGGACUAAAGUAAUGAUUGAUAGGGACAGUUGGGGGUGCUAGUAUUCAGCGGCCAGAGGUGAAAUUCUUGGAUUCGCUGAAGACUAACUUAUGCGAAAGCAUU
This 322-nucleotide ribosomal RNA is filed under the name Cercomonadidae sp. RNAcentral describes it as "SSU rRNA". The stretch from base 107 to 322 matches the Rfam family "Eukaryotic small subunit ribosomal RNA", at positions 738 to 955 of the family's 1831-position model. The record is from RNAcentral. Lineage: Eukaryota; Cercozoa; Cercomonadida; Cercomonadidae.